Molecule: ribosomal RNA, 301 nt
Filed under: uncultured bacterium
Lineage: Bacteria
Description: partial 16S ribosomal RNA
Rfam family: Bacterial small subunit ribosomal RNA
Source: RNAcentral
CAGUCGCCGCGGUGAUACGUAGGUGGCAAGCGUUGUCCGGAAUUAUUGGGCGUAAAGGGCUCGCAGGCGGUUUCUUAAGUCUGAUGUGAAAGCCCCCGGCUCAACCGGGGAGGGUCAUUGGAAACUGGGAAACUUGAGUGCAGAAGAGGAGAGUGGAACUCCACGUGUAGCGGUGAAAUGCGUAGAGAUGUGGAGGAACACCAGUGGCGAAGGCGACUCUCUGGUCUGUAACUGACGCUGAGGAGCGAAAGCGUGGGGAGCGAACAGGAUUAGAUACCCCGGUAGUCCCUGUCUCUUAUAC